Roseovarius sp. 22II1-1F6A is the source of this 154-nucleotide non-coding RNA. NCBI's taxonomy places the organism in Bacteria, Pseudomonadati, Pseudomonadota, Alphaproteobacteria, Rhodobacterales, Roseobacteraceae. The record is from Rfam.
GCUGGAGAAAUGCGGAUUGUAAUUGAUGAAAGCGAAGCCGCGGCUUUGAUCGAUGGUGUGAAACAGCGGGUUCCAAGUGAAGAAGGCGAGGAUGUAGCCCGGCAUUGUAUUGGCCACGAACAUCUUGCCCGACGCGAUCAUGUUGGCGCGGCUG